UCCCUGGUGGUUCGGCCACGACGCUCUCACCGCCGCGGCCCGGGUUCGAUUCCCGGCCAGGGAU
Molecule: non-coding RNA, 64 nt
Organism: Pangasius djambal
Lineage: Eukaryota; Metazoa; Chordata; Actinopteri; Siluriformes; Pangasiidae
Source: the annotation of a GenBank genome assembly